GACGAACGCUGGCGGCGUGCUUAACACAUGCAAGUCGAACGGAAAGGCCCUGCUUUUGUGGGUUGCUCGAGUGGCGAACGGGUGAGUAACACGUGAGUAACCUGCCCUUAACUUUCGGAUAACUUCAGGAAACUGCGGCUCAUACCGCGUAGGAGCUCCUGCUGCAUGGUGGGGGUUGGAAAGAUUCGGCGGUUUGGGAUGGACUCGCGGCUUAUCAGCUUGUUUGGGGGGUAGUGGCUUACCAAGCCUUUGACGGGUAGCCGGCCUGGGAGGGGUGCCGGGGACAUGAGGACUGAGAGAGGGACCAGAAGGCUACGGGAGGCAAUAGGGGGGAAUAUUGCAGAAUGGGCGGGAGUCUGAGGCAGCGACGCCGGGUGCGGGAAGACGGGCUUCGGGUUGUAAACCGCUGUCGCCUGUGACGAAGCGUGAGUGACGGUAAUGGGUAAAGAAGCACCGGCUAACUACGUG
Molecule: ribosomal RNA, 468 nt
Filed under: uncultured bacterium
Lineage: Bacteria
Description: partial 16S ribosomal RNA
Rfam family: Bacterial small subunit ribosomal RNA
Source: RNAcentral